UAGGGAAUUUUCGGCAAUGGGGGAAACCCUGACCGAGCAAUGCCGCGUGAAUGAAGAAGGUCUUCGGAUUGUAAAGUUCUGUUAUUGAGGAAGAAUGGGGUUUAUAGGAAAUGAUAGACCCGUGACGGUACUUGAUUAGAAAGUCCCGGCCAACUACGUGCCAGCAGCCGCGGUAAUACGUAGGGGACGAGCGUUAUCCGGAUUUAUUGGGCGUAAAGCGUGCGUAGGCGGUACACUAAGUCCGUUGUAAAAGAUCACAGCUCAACUGUGUAGGGCAAUGGAAACUGGUGAACUUGAAUAUGGUAGAGGCAAGUGGAAUUCCAUGUGUAGCGGUGGAAUGCGUAGAUAUAUGGAGGAACACCAAUGGCGAAGGCAGCUUGCUGGGCCAGAAUUGACGCUG
Molecule: ribosomal RNA, 400 nt
Filed under: uncultured bacterium
Lineage: Bacteria
Description: bacterial SSU rRNA
Rfam family: Bacterial small subunit ribosomal RNA
Source: RNAcentral